This 72-nucleotide transfer RNA is filed under the name Tupanvirus deep ocean. Its description in RNAcentral is "tRNA-His". It matches the Rfam family "tRNA". Rfam says of the family: Transfer RNA (tRNA) molecules are approximately 80 nucleotides in length. Their secondary structure includes four short double-helical elements and three loops (D, anti-codon, and T loops). RNAcentral also lists the same sequence under 1 other name. Lineage: Varidnaviria; Bamfordvirae; Nucleocytoviricota; Megaviricetes; Imitervirales; Mimiviridae. The record is from RNAcentral.
UCCGACGUAGUUCAAUGGUAGAACGUCCGGUUGUGACCCGGAAAACAUGUGUUCGAUUCACAUCGUUGGAAC